This is a long non-coding RNA of Carassius auratus (goldfish), 464 nucleotides long. RefSeq lists it as uncharacterized. NCBI's taxonomy places the organism in Eukaryota, Metazoa, Chordata, Actinopteri, Cypriniformes, Cyprinidae. The transcript is spliced from 4 exons. The record is from RefSeq and is a predicted model, not a curated record.
AUGACACCGAAAGCCAGACACAUUAAAUUUACAAAUAGCCGCGCCCCCUCUUACAGAAAAAAAUAAGGGGCAUAUGUUUAUUCAUAUGUUUAUUUAUGUAACGUAAGAGUGUGACUUUAAAUUCGUGACGUGCUUUCAUGGGCGUGCGCGCGGACCGGAUGGAGUUGCCAUGGAAACGGAGCGCAACACUGCAAAUGUCACGAGGAAACACCCCGUUUCUUGCUGAUUUCACAGUUUUCAGAAGGGAGUGUCCAAGAUUUCAAUAUUUCUGAAGGGAGCUGCUGACAGAGAUGUAGGAAGCGCUGAAAAGAUUCUUCAGUGCUGAUGGCCUGCUGCAUCCAGCAGAGUCGGAGUGAACCUACUGUAAGACAACAUCUCCAAGAUGCUAUAUAUGCUAUAUGCUAUAUACAAGACUAGUACAGGUUAUUAGAAACUGCACAGCACAGGACUUGCAUUGACUUGUG